UCCCUGGUGGUCUAGUGGCUAGGAUUUGGUGCUUUCACCUCCAUGGCCUGGGUUCUAGUCCAGUCAGGAAA
RNAcentral lists this transfer RNA (71 nucleotides) under Loxodonta africana (African savanna elephant). It matches the Rfam family "tRNA". Rfam says of the family: Transfer RNA (tRNA) molecules are approximately 80 nucleotides in length. Their secondary structure includes four short double-helical elements and three loops (D, anti-codon, and T loops). The record is from Rfam by way of RNAcentral. Lineage: Eukaryota; Metazoa; Chordata; Mammalia; Proboscidea; Elephantidae.